GGAAGGGGUGUAUUUAUUAGAUUAAAAACCAAUGCCCUUCGGGGCUCUCUGGUGAUUCAUAAUAACUUCUCGAAUCGCACGGCCUUGCGCCGGCGAUGGUUCAUUCAAAUUUCUGCCCUAUCAACUUUCGACGGCUGGGUCUUGGCCAGCCGUGGUGACAACGGGUAACGGAGGGUUAGGGCUCGACCCCGGAGAAGGAGCCUGAGAAACGGCUACUACAUCCAAGGAAGGCAGCAGGCGCGCAAAUUACCCAAUCCCGACACGGGGAGGUAGUGACAAUAAAUACUGAUACAGGGCUCUUUCGGGUCUUGUAAUUGGAAUGAGUACAAUUUAAAUCCCUUAACGAGGAACAAUUGGAGGGCAAGUCUGGUGCCAGCAGCCGCGGUAAUUCCAGCUCCAAUAGCGUAUAUUAAAGUUGUUGAGGUUAAAAAGCUCGUAGUUGAACCUUGGGCCUAGCCGGCCGGUCCGCCUCACCGCGUGCACUGGCUCGGCUGGGUCUUUCCUUCUGGAGAACCGCAUGCCCUUCACUGGGUGUGCCGGGGAACCAGGACUUUUACA
This 558-nucleotide ribosomal RNA is filed under the name uncultured Chaetomium. RNAcentral's name for it is "SSU rRNA". It matches the Rfam family "Eukaryotic small subunit ribosomal RNA", at positions 194 to 756 of the family's 1831-position model. The record is from RNAcentral. Lineage: Eukaryota; Fungi; Ascomycota; Sordariomycetes; Sordariales; Chaetomiaceae.